UCCAAGGAAGAGCCAGGAGUGCUG
RNAcentral lists this non-coding RNA (24 nucleotides) under Mus musculus (house mouse). Lineage: Eukaryota; Metazoa; Chordata; Mammalia; Rodentia; Muridae. The record is from RNAcentral.